RNAcentral lists this ribosomal RNA (137 nucleotides) under Propithecus coquereli (Coquerel's sifaka). The record is from RNAcentral. Lineage: Eukaryota; Metazoa; Chordata; Mammalia; Primates; Indriidae.
GUCUAUGGCCAUACCACCCUUGAACAUGCCCGAUCUCAUCUGAUCUCAGAAGCUAAGCUGGGUGGGGCCUGGUUAGUACUUGGAUGGGAGAAGAAUGGGCUCCAGUACCAUCCAGGACAAUCCAAGAGAUGUUAGCU